GCACCACAAGAACGCGUGGAGCAUGUGGCUUAAUUUGACUCAACGCGGGAAAUCUUACCGGGUCCGGACACACUGAGGAUUGACAGGCAAUAUCUCAUGGUUAUUAACCCGGUUAUUACAUUUUGUUUAAUCGGUUAUUAAGCAUCGAGUGUUAAAUAUGCUAGUCCUUUCAUGAUUAUGUGAUAGGUGGUGCAUGGCCGUUCUUAGUUCGUGGAGUGAUCUGUCUGCUUAAUUGCGUUUCACUAAGGGCCCAUAAAUUCAAGGUAUGUUAGCUAUCGUCGCUCUAUGGACCCCUUAUACUCGAUUUCGCUUUAAUUAGCGUUAUUUGUUUAAUAAGCGCGCGUCUUUAUUUAAUGAGUUUAAGACACUGCGCAUGCUGUUGGGCUCUGAAAGCAACGAACGUGACCGCAACGUCUUGUUGCCUUAAUAAAGUUGGCUUUUAAUACAAAUUCGUAUUUAAACCGCUUACAGAGGCUAUUUAAAACUAGACGGACCGCUGUUUCUUUUCUUAAACCAGAGGAAGGUUGCGGCAAUAACAGGU
This 541-nucleotide ribosomal RNA is filed under the name Neogloboquadrina pachyderma. Its description in RNAcentral is "bacterial SSU rRNA". It matches the Rfam family "Eukaryotic small subunit ribosomal RNA", at positions 1164 to 1461 of the family's 1831-position model. Lineage: Eukaryota; Foraminifera; Rotaliida; Globorotaliidae. The record is from RNAcentral.